CAGCAGACACAUUCCAGCCAAUCAGCAGCAGACCCUCCCUCCCACCUCCUGGACAGCAUCCAUUGUGAAGCUGCAUUCUUAGUGAGCUGCCCAGGAGGUGGGAGGGCAUGGGAGGGAGGGUCUGCUGCUGAUUGGCUGGAAUGUGUCUGCUG
Molecule: microRNA precursor, 152 nt
Filed under: Pelobates cultripes (western spadefoot toad)
Lineage: Eukaryota; Metazoa; Chordata; Amphibia; Anura; Pelobatidae
Source: RNAcentral